RNAcentral lists this ribosomal RNA (468 nucleotides) under uncultured bacterium. RNAcentral describes it as "partial 16S ribosomal RNA". It matches the Rfam family "Bacterial small subunit ribosomal RNA", at positions 28 to 507 of the family's 1533-position model. The record is from RNAcentral.
GACGAACGCUGGCGGCGUGCUUAACACAUGCAAGUCGAACGGAAAGGCCCUGCUUUUGUGGGGUGCUCGAGUGGCGAACAGGUGAGUAACACGUGAGUAACCUGCCCUUGACUUUGGGAUAACUUCAGGAAACUGGGGCUAAUACCGGGUAGGAGCUCCUGCUGCAUGGGGGGGGUUGGAAAGUUUCGGCGGUUGGGGAUGGACUCGCGGCUUAUCAGCUUGUUGGUGGGGUAGUGGCUUACCAAGGCUUUGACGGGUAGCCGGCCUGGGAGGGUGACCGGCCACAUUGGGACUGAGAUACGGCCCAGACUCCUACGGGAGGCAGCAGUGGGGAAUAUUGCACAAUGGGCGGAAGCCUGAUGCAGCAACGCCGCGUGCGGGAUGACGGCCUUCGGGUUGUAAACCGCUUUCGCCUGUGACGAAGCGUGAGUGACGGUAAUGGGUAAAGAAGCACCGGCUAACUACGUG